This 510-nucleotide ribosomal RNA is filed under the name Ceratocystis manginecans. RNAcentral's name for it is "eukaryotic LSU rRNA". The stretch from base 120 to 273 matches the Rfam family "5.8S ribosomal RNA". Lineage: Eukaryota; Fungi; Ascomycota; Sordariomycetes; Microascales; Ceratocystidaceae. The record is from RNAcentral.
AGGAGCGUAACGAUAAGUCGGAGGGGCACCCCUUACGGCGGUGUAGUCUCACCACUAUAAAACUCUUUUAUUAUUUUCUAGAUUUUCAUUGCUGAGUGGCAUAACUAUAAAAAAGUUAAAACUUUCAACAACGGAUCUCUUGGCUCUAGCAUCGAUGAAGAACGCAGCGAAAUGCGAUAAGUAAUGUGAAUUGCAGAAUUCAGUGAAUCAUCGAAUCUUUGAACGCACAUUGCGCCUGGCAGUAUUCUGCCAGGCAUGCCUGUCCGAGCGUCAUUUCACCACUCAAGACUCUUUUGUUCUUGGCGUUGGAGGUCCUGUUCUCCCCUGAACAGGCCGCCGAACAUGUAUCGGCUGUUAUACUUGCCAACUCCCCUGUGUAGUAUAAAAUUUCUAAUUUUUACACUUUGAAGUUCUUGUGUAACACGCCGCUAAACCCGCUCAACUUUUGUUGAACUUUUCACAAGGUUGACCUCGGAUCAGGUAGGAAUACCCGCUGAACUUAAGCAUAUC